This 73-nucleotide transfer RNA is filed under the name Streptococcus thermophilus. RNAcentral's name for it is "tRNA-Asp". It matches the Rfam family "tRNA". From Rfam's summary of the family: Transfer RNA (tRNA) molecules are approximately 80 nucleotides in length. Their secondary structure includes four short double-helical elements and three loops (D, anti-codon, and T loops). Lineage: Bacteria; Bacillati; Bacillota; Bacilli; Lactobacillales; Streptococcaceae. The record is from RNAcentral.
GGUCCCGUGGUGUAGCGGUUAUCACGUCGCCCUGUCACGGUGAAGAUCGCGGGUUCGAUUCCCGUCGGGACCG